Danio rerio (zebrafish) is the source of this 1722-nucleotide non-coding RNA. The record is from RefSeq and is a predicted model, not a curated record. NCBI's taxonomy places the organism in Eukaryota, Metazoa, Chordata, Actinopteri, Cypriniformes, Danionidae.
UAAAAGCAUCUGCAAAAGCAAACAUCAGUUUAACACUGGACACAUUAUCAAAGACUACAAUAAUAAUUAUCUAUAUAUUGCAGUGAGGUAUUUUACAAACUCAUGAAAUGAGAAAGCGGGGGCGGUGAAUCUUUACGUGUCAGGUCAUGUUCUGUGCCGCGGGGUGGUCUGAUUUAGAAGCAAGCUCUUCGCAGCGCUAUGAGGACCUAUUAGAUUAGAAGGUUUGAGAGAAUUUUUAAGGGAUAUGCAGAGAGACGCUGCAUUUCUCUAUCUGUGCUUUCUGAUUACAAACGGUAUGUUUGGGGAUGCAGAUGAAAUUAAGUCAGUGUUUGUGACUGAGGGAGACUCUGUCCCACUAUACACUGAUAUUACUAAAGUGCAGGAAGGUGAUCAGAUCUACUGGAAAUUUGGACAUCAAAACACUCGAAUAGCUGAAAUCAUCAAAAGGGACCAAAUAGGUGUUAACAUACAUUUUUUGCUUAAGGAUGGGAAAUUCAAAAACAAACUACAACUGGACAAUCACACUGGAUCUCUGACCAUCAGAAAUAUCAGCACUGAACAUGCUGGACUUUAUGAACUGACUGUGAUGAGUGGAAAAAACUCAUUGACCAGAUUUAAUGUUACUGUCUAUUCUCUACCUGUUCCUUUCAUCAGCAAUAACGCUUCAAACUGUUCUUCAAAAUCAUCAAGAUCGCAUUUUUCCAGAUGUUCAGUGUUGUGUUCAGUGUUGAAUUUGAGGGCUGCGAGUCUCUCCUGGUACAAAGGAAACAGUGUAUUGUCCAGCAUCAGUGUGUCUGAUCUCAGCAUCAGUCUCUCUCUACCUCUGGAGGUGGAAUAUCAGGAUAAAAACACCUACAGCUGCGUGGUCAAUAACAACUUCACAAACCACACCACACAUCUGGACAUCAGUGAUCUCUGUCACACAUGUGCAGAGCUUACAAUGAACCCCUGGUGUUAAAUACUCACUGAGCAAAGGCAGAACUGGAAAGAAAUCACUAUCUGAUAGUUGUCACCGUGGUGCUGUUCGUAACAGUUUGGGGAUUGAUCUGGUGCUAUAGGAAGCGUAAACAAGGACAAUGUGGAGGCUGAAGCAGAAGGUGGUACAGUGUACUCAAGCAUCGCAACAAACUAAGGAGCACAGUGUACAAUGUUUUUAAUGAUAAAACACUCAUGACAUAACAGUCACCUGCAUAUUCACAUUUAAUUUUUAUGAAUUAACAUGCAGUUCAUGGAAGCUCAUUUCGGCAAUUGUUUGUUUUGUAGUAUUGUUGGUAUUAAUUCAUGCUGGACAAGGAACGGGUUUUAAAUGAAAUAUAUGUAGCGAAAUCCGUUAACUGAUCACUGAUGUUUUUUUUUUUCAAUACCAAUGUUUUAUUCAUCAAACAUCAGAGGAAACUCUUGUAUUCAGUACUAACAGGACAUAAAGCCAUGUUAAAUACCUUUAGACUAUCCAUUCAUCUCUAGAGUCUUCAGCAAAGUCCACAUCCGCUUAAAUACCACAAGAAAAACUAAAUAUUUUCUAGACUAGACAUGUCUACACAUUUGAGGUCAUGUAACGUCUACUUUUAUCUAGAAAUCUGCAUUUUCCUGUUUUGUAACAUACUUAAGCACUGAUUACUUACCAUGUAUUGUACGGAGUAUUGUGUGGGAAUUACUUCCUAAGUAUUGUGCUCAUAUAAAACCAUGCCGGUGAAUAAACUUGCUUUUUUUUUUUUUUUUUUU